This 357-nucleotide ribosomal RNA is filed under the name uncultured bacterium. Its description in RNAcentral is "bacterial SSU rRNA". It matches the Rfam family "Bacterial small subunit ribosomal RNA", at positions 446 to 793 of the family's 1533-position model. The record is from RNAcentral.
GGAAACAAUACUCACGUGUGAGAUCUUGACGGUACCGUAGAAUAAGCACCGGCUAACUCCGUGCCAGCAGCCGCGGUAAUACGGAGGGUGGCAAGCGUUAUCCGGAAUCAUUGGGUUUAAAGGGUUACCGGCCAGGCGGGUCAAUUAAGUACAGAGGUGAAAUACCUGCAGCUUAACUGUAGAACUGCCUUUGAUACUGGUUGACUUGAGUUGUACGGAAGUAGAUAGAAUGUGUAGUGUAGCGGUGAAAUGCAUAGAUAUUACACAGAAUACCGAUUGCGAAGGCAGUCUACUACGUAUAUACUGACGCUCAUGGACGAAAGCGUGGGGAGCGAACAGGAUUAGAUACCCUGGUAG